This is a long non-coding RNA of Myotis davidii, 189 nucleotides long. RefSeq lists it as uncharacterized. Lineage: Eukaryota; Metazoa; Chordata; Mammalia; Chiroptera; Vespertilionidae. The transcript has 3 exons. The record is from RefSeq and is a predicted model, not a curated record.
CCGCUGCUGGUGGGGCCGCAGCGGCUGCAGGUGCUGAACGCCUCCCACGAGGACGCGGGGGCCUACAGCUGCCGGCAGCGGCUCACCCAGCGCGAGCUGUGCCGCUUCAGCGUGCGGGUGACAGAUGCCCCGUCCUCGGGAGACGACGAAGAUGGGGAGGACGAGGCAGAGGACACAGGAGGGGCCCCC